GAUGAAGAACGUAGCAAAAUGCGAUAAGUAAUGUGAAUUGCAGAAUUCAGUGAAUCAUCGAAUCUUUGAACGCACAUUGCGCCUCCUGGUAUUCCGGGAGGCAUGCCUGUUCGAGCGUCAUUAGAAUCACUCAAGCUUAGGUUUACCUAUUGCUUGGUCUUGGAGAUGGAAGCCAAUUUAUUGGAAUCCUCUCCGAAAUUCAAUGGCGAAGACCCUUGCUCUCCCAAGUGUAGUAAUAACUUAUGUCACUGAAGGAAGCGAGAAAUCUUCUGCCGUAACCCCCAUAUUUUCUAUGAUUGACCUCGGAUCAGGUAGGGAUACCCGCUGAACUUAAGCAUAUCAAUAAGCGGAGGA
RNAcentral lists this unclassified non-coding RNA (354 nucleotides) under soil metagenome. RNAcentral's name for it is "partial contains 5.8S ribosomal RNA, internal transcribed spacer 2, and large subunit ribosomal RNA". The stretch from base 1 to 120 matches the Rfam family "5.8S ribosomal RNA", at positions 35 to 154 of the family's 154-position model. The record is from RNAcentral.